Molecule: long non-coding RNA, 1225 nt
Filed under: Capsicum annuum
Lineage: Eukaryota; Viridiplantae; Streptophyta; Magnoliopsida; Solanales; Solanaceae
Description: long non-coding RNA (CANN_LNC010590)
Source: RNAcentral
CACAUCCUAUAUGACACAAAUUAGUGCUGAAAUUAUAAUCUCAAAAUUAUGAUACCGGAAUAUAGGGAUGCAUAUCGGUGAGUUCAAUUUAUUAAUUUUUGAUUUAUAAACAUAGUACUAAAUCGUUAAUCAAAUUAAUAAAAUAUUCAUUAUCGAUUUUAAUCUUUUGCGGCUCAGUUUUCGAUUUAACCGAUAAGAAAAUGUUCCUCUAAAUUUUUUUGUUUUCUCUUAUUUUUGUUUGAUCUAUAUACUAUCUUCAUGCAUAAAGUCUACACAAUUUACAAGCACUAAGAUCAUAAUUAUAAAAUGCAAAAAGUAUUAGAGUAUGCAUUUAAAACCUGAAGCCACUAUUAUAUACUUAUGGAUAAAACUAUAAUUUUAAUAUAAACUUAUUGGAUUAACGGUGUAACCAUUAACUAAAACCUUAAAAGCGAAAAUUGAACCGAUAGCCCAAUAAAUUUUUCUAGAUAAUCCUUUAAAAAAUGUUAAUCCGAUAUUGAUAAAUCAAUUACAUUUUUAUUGGUUUGAUUUAUUUAUUGAAUCAAUUUUUACACAUCUUUACCAAAAUAAUUUAUUCAACGUACCAAACGAAAUGAAAUCUGGGCAGUUCUUUUUAUCAUUUAAUGAUAAAUAUGACUCAUGAUGCUUUUAGUGUAAGUUGUUCCUUGCUUUAAAUAUUUUAUUAUCAUCCAGCAAACUUGCUGAGGUACAAAACUAUAAUCAAACUGUUAAUUCUUUAUAUAAUUUAAACUUUUAUUAAUUACAAUCUUUGUAUUAGACUGGUAGGGCUACAAUACACCAAAAAAUCACAUUAUGACAAAAAUUUUCAAUUUUAAUAGAACAAGAGUAAAUGUGAUUAUACAAUCUGCUAAUUCUUUAGCAUAAUAUUAAACUUGUUUCUGAUUGCAGGGUUUAUACUUGAUUUUUGAUUAUCCAAUCUGCUAAUUCUUUAGUAUAAUAUUAAACUUAUUUCUGAUUGCAGGGUUUAUACUUGAUUAAUUAAGAUGCAUCAAAAAAUAAUCAUCGAAAGACAAAAAAUCUUAAAUUCUAAUAAUACAAGAGUAAAUUAGGCCUUUUUUUUUUUUCUUGAAUUAAAGUCAUUAAAAAAUUCUAAAACUUGUACUUUGCUUGUGUGUAAAGUACCUGCAUGUCUAUUCUAAUUAAAUGGAUUUAUUUAAUUAAAAUUAUUUUAAAAUGCAGUUCAUUGUGUAGUUCAAGAGUGGGA